RNAcentral lists this ribosomal RNA (301 nucleotides) under uncultured bacterium. Its description in RNAcentral is "partial 16S ribosomal RNA". It matches the Rfam family "Bacterial small subunit ribosomal RNA", at positions 509 to 807 of the family's 1533-position model. The record is from RNAcentral.
CAGUCGCCGCGGUAAUACGGAGGGUGCGAGCGUUAAUCGGAAUUACUGGGCGUAAAGCGUACGCAGGCGGUUUGUUAAGUCAGAUGUGAAAUCCCCGAGCUUAACUCGGGAACUGCAUUUGAAACUGGCAGGCUAGAGUCUCGUAGAGGGGGGUAGAAUUCCAGGUGUAGCGGUGAAAUGCGUAGAGAUCUGGAGGAAUACCGGUGGCGAAGGCGGCCCCCUGGACGAAGACUGACGCUCAGGUACGAAAGCGUGGGGAGCAAACAGGAUUAGAUACCCGUGUAGUCCCUGUCUCUUAUAC